This 467-nucleotide ribosomal RNA is filed under the name uncultured bacterium. RNAcentral's name for it is "bacterial SSU rRNA". It matches the Rfam family "Bacterial small subunit ribosomal RNA", at positions 333 to 793 of the family's 1533-position model. The record is from RNAcentral.
GGACUCCUACGGGAGGCAGCAGUGGGGAAUAUUGCACAAUGGGCGCAAGCCUGAUGCAGCCAUGCCGCGUGUAUGAAGAAGGCCUUCGGGUUGUAAAGUACUUUCAGCAGUGAGGAAGGUGGGUAUGUUAAUAGCAUAUUCAUUUGACGUUAGCUGCAGAAGAAGCACCGGCUAACUCCGUGCCAGCAGCCGCGGUAAUACGGAGGGUGCGAGCGUUAAUCGGAAUUACUGGGCGUAAAGCGCAUGCAGGUGGUUUGUUAAGUCAGAUGUGAAAGCCCGGGGCUCAACCUCGGAAUUGCAUUUGAAACUGGCAAACUAGAGUACUGUAGAGGGGGUAGAAUUUCAGGUGUAGCGGUGAAAUGCGUAGAGAUCUGAAGGAAUACCGGUGGCGAAGGCGGCCCCCUGGACAGAUACUGACACUCAGAUGCGAAAGCGUGGGGAGCAAACAGGAUUAGAUACCCUGGUAG